UGCCAGCCGCCGCGGUAAUACGGAGGGAGCGAGCGUUAAUCGGAAUUACUGGGCGUAAAGCGCGCGUAGGCGGCUUUGUAAGUCGGAUGUGAAAGCCCUGGGCUCAACCUGGGAAUUGCAUUCGAUACUGCAGAGCUAGAGUAUGGUAGAGGGAAGUGGAAUUUCCGGUGUAGCGGUGAAAUGCGUAGAUAUCGGAAGGAACACCAGUGGCGAAGGCGGCUAACUGGCUCGGUACUGACGCUGAGAUGCGAAAGCGUGGGGAGCAAACAGGAUUAGAUA
RNAcentral lists this ribosomal RNA (279 nucleotides) under uncultured bacterium. RNAcentral's name for it is "partial 16S ribosomal RNA". It matches the Rfam family "Bacterial small subunit ribosomal RNA", at positions 506 to 784 of the family's 1533-position model. The record is from RNAcentral.